RNAcentral lists this transfer RNA (76 nucleotides) under Clostridiales bacterium. Its description in RNAcentral is "tRNA-Ala". It matches the Rfam family "tRNA". Rfam says of the family: Transfer RNA (tRNA) molecules are approximately 80 nucleotides in length. Their secondary structure includes four short double-helical elements and three loops (D, anti-codon, and T loops). Further hydrogen bonds mediate the characteristic L-shaped molecular structure. tRNAs have two regions of fundamental functional importance: the anti-codon, which is responsible for specific mRNA codon recognition, and the 3' end, to which the tRNAs corresponding amino acid is attached (by aminoacyl-tRNA synthetases). tRNAs cope with the degeneracy of the genetic code in two manners: having more than one tRNA (with a specific anti-codon) for a particular amino acid; and 'wobble' base-pairing, i.e. permitting non-standard base-pairing at the 3rd anti-codon position. The record is from RNAcentral. Lineage: Bacteria; Bacillati; Bacillota; Clostridia; Eubacteriales.
GGGGGUAUAGCUCAGCCGGGAGAGCACCUGCCUUGCAAGCAGGGGGUCAGCGGUUCGAUCCCGCUUAUCUCCACCA